AUUCCAUGAUGGGGACAUUCUAGGAUGUAGUCUUGAAAGCGCUCCCAUGCUUCUGGAACAGAUUCAUCAUUUUGUUGCUGAAAACUUGUAAUCCCCCACGGAGAGC
Molecule: small nucleolar RNA, 106 nt
Filed under: Sorghum bicolor (sorghum)
Lineage: Eukaryota; Viridiplantae; Streptophyta; Magnoliopsida; Poales; Poaceae
Description: Plant small nucleolar RNA R71
Rfam family: Plant small nucleolar RNA R71
About the family: R71 is a member of the C/D box family of snoRNAs containing the C (UGAUGA) and D (CUGA) box motifs.
Source: Rfam by way of RNAcentral